Molecule: ribosomal RNA, 253 nt
Filed under: uncultured bacterium
Lineage: Bacteria
Description: partial 16S ribosomal RNA
Rfam family: Bacterial small subunit ribosomal RNA
Source: RNAcentral
UACGUAGGGUGCAAGCGUUGUCCGGAAUCAUUGGGCGUAAAGCGCGUGUAGGCGGUCCGGUAAGUCCGCUGUGAAAGUCGGGGGCUCAACCCUCGGAUGCCGGUGGAUACUGUCGGGCUUGAGUACGGAAGAGGCGAGUGGAAUUCCUGGUGUAGCGGUGAAAUGCGCGGAUAUCAGGAGGAACACCAAUUGCGAAGGCAGCUCGCUGGGACGUUACUGGCGCUGAGACGCGAAAGCGUGGGGAGCAAACAGG